RNAcentral lists this ribosomal RNA (118 nucleotides) under Aeromonas dhakensis. RNAcentral describes it as "partial 16S ribosomal RNA". It matches the Rfam family "Bacterial small subunit ribosomal RNA", at positions 1425 to 1533 of the family's 1533-position model. Lineage: Bacteria; Pseudomonadati; Pseudomonadota; Gammaproteobacteria; Aeromonadales; Aeromonadaceae. The record is from RNAcentral.
AGUAGAUAGCUUAACCUUCGGGAGGGCGUUUACCACGGUGUGAUUCAUGACUGGGGUGAAGUCGUAACAAGGUAACCCUAGGGGAACCUGGGGUUGGAUCACCUCCUUACCUUAAUGA